Molecule: ribosomal RNA, 588 nt
Filed under: uncultured bacterium
Lineage: Bacteria
Description: bacterial SSU rRNA
Rfam family: Bacterial small subunit ribosomal RNA
Source: RNAcentral
CCUACGGGAGGCAGCAGUGGGGAAUCUUCCGCAAUGGGCGAAAGCCUGACGGAGCAACGCCGCGUGAGUGAAGAAGGCCUUCGGGUCGUAAAGCUCUGUCUUCAGGGAAGAACAACUAUAGUAUAAAUAAUGCUAUGGUCUGACGGUACCUGAGGAGGAAGCUCCGGCUAACUACGUGCCAGCAGCCGCGGUAAUACGUAGGGAGCAAGCGUUGUCCGGAAUUACUGGGCGUAAAGGGCGCGUAGGCGGGAACUCAAGUCAGGUGUGAAAACUAUGGGCUUAACCCAUAGACUGCACUUGAAACUGGGUUUCUUGAGGGCAGGAGAGGAAAGUGGAAUUCCUAGUGUAGCGGUGAAAUGCGUAGAUAUUAGGAGGAACACCAGUGGCGAAGGCGACUUUCUGGACUGUACCUGACGCUGAGGCGCGAAAGCGUGGGGAGCGAACAGGAUUAGAUACCCUGGUAGUCCACGCUGUAAACGAUGAAUACUAGGUGUAGGGGGUAUCGACCCCCCCUGUGCCGCAGUUAACACAAUAAGUAUUCCGCCUGGGGAGUACGACCGCAAGGUUGAAACUCAAAGGAAUUGACGG